Molecule: ribosomal RNA, 483 nt
Filed under: uncultured bacterium
Lineage: Bacteria
Description: partial 16S ribosomal RNA
Rfam family: Bacterial small subunit ribosomal RNA
Source: RNAcentral
GAUGAACGCUGGCGGCGUGCUUAACACAUGCAAGUCGAACGGUGAAAGCGGAGCUUGCUCCGCUGGAUCAGUGGCGAACGGGUGAGUAACACGUGGGCAACCUGCCCCUCACUUCGGGAUAACUCCGGGAAACCGGGGCUAAUACCGGAUACGACCUCCUUGGGCAUCCUUGGAGGUGGAAAGUUUUUCGGUGAGGGAUGGGCCCGCGGCCUAUCAGCUUGUUGGUGAGGUAGUGGCUCACCAAGGCGACGACGGGUAGCCGGCCUGAGAGGGCGACCGGCCACACUGGGACUGAGACACGGCCCAGACUCCUACGGGAGGCAGCAGUGGGGAAUAUUGCACAAUGGGCGCAAGCCUGAUGCAGCAACGCCGCGUGAGGGAUGACGGCCUUCGGGUUGUAAACCUCUUUUAGUAGGGAAGAAGCGAAAGUGACGGUACCUGCAGAAAAAGCACCGGCUAACUACGUGCCAGCCGCCGCAGUAA